UACAGAGGGGGCGAGCGUUGUUCGGAAUUACUGGGCGUAAAGGGCGCGUAGGCGGCCCGCUAAGUCGAACGUGAAAUCCCCAGGCUCAACCUGGGAACUGCGUCCGAUACUGGCAGGCUUGAAUCCGGGAGAGGGAUGUGGAAUUCCAGGUGUAGCGGUGAAAUGCGUAGAUAUCUGGAGGAACACCGGUGGCGAAGGCGGCGUCCUGGACUGCAACUGACACUGAGGAACGAAAGCCAGGGGAGCAAACGGG
Molecule: ribosomal RNA, 253 nt
Filed under: uncultured bacterium
Lineage: Bacteria
Description: partial 16S ribosomal RNA
Rfam family: Bacterial small subunit ribosomal RNA
Source: RNAcentral